Molecule: long non-coding RNA, 264 nt
Filed under: Olea europaea (common olive)
Lineage: Eukaryota; Viridiplantae; Streptophyta; Magnoliopsida; Lamiales; Oleaceae
Description: long non-coding RNA (OEUR_LNC003488)
Source: RNAcentral
CCCAUGGGAAACUGUUCAGCGCAGGAAAGUUCUCAACAAGGGUGAACAAGUAAUGGUCGACCACUUUCUUAUAAUCUCUAGGAAAUAAGUAUGCAGUAAUGAAGUACAGGAUACCAAUGAGUGCAACAUCAUUUUCAGGAGAGUUUCAACAAGAUCCAGAUCAUGUAUUUGGCAAGUAGAUAUGAAUGUGGAUUUCACAUCUUCAUGUGUCAUGGUAUCCACUUGAGAAAAGUACUUUUUCUUCAGUUGUGACGGUCUACUUUC